Molecule: long non-coding RNA, 387 nt
Organism: Ornithodoros turicata
Lineage: Eukaryota; Metazoa; Arthropoda; Arachnida; Ixodida; Argasidae
Exons: 3
Source: RefSeq, a predicted model, not a curated record
GAAGAUACAGAGAAGACUACGGGUACAUUUUGUUCGGCGCCACGCCCCUAUUCGAAGGGAAGAAUGAUCGUGCUGUUAUGGACACAUUGACGACAAAGUUCCAGCGGGUCAUAAACGAGGUUAAACCUGAUUUGGUGCUCUACCAUACGGCCCUGCUACCAAGCUUGGGAGCAAGCUCCUUUUGCCAUCCAACUGGUAACACUGUGUGGGAAGACUCUACUAUGACCCACUAUCAGGCGUCAUUCAUAUGCAAGGCAAGGAAGCAGGGCUUUCAGGGUGGCUAUGUCGUGUUCGCCGUGGAAGAUAUUUACGAAGCGAACAUUUGCCGCGACACUUACGCCGACGGCUACAGGGAUAUUCGCCACAUCAGAGACUACUUGGACGAGA